UACAGAGGGGGCAAGCGUUGUUCGGAAUUACUGGGCGUAAAGGGCGCGUAGGCGGCCUGCUAAGUCGAACGUGAAAUCCCUGGGCUCAACCCAGGAACUGCGUCCGAUACUGGUUGGCUUGAAUCCGGGAGAGGGACGUGGAAUUCCAGGUGUAGCGGUGAAAUGCGUAGAUAUCUGGAGGAACACCGGUGGCGAAGGCGGUGCUCUGGGCCGGAACUGACGCUGAGGAGCGAAAGCGUGGGGAGCAAACAGG
RNAcentral lists this ribosomal RNA (253 nucleotides) under uncultured bacterium. Its description in RNAcentral is "partial 16S ribosomal RNA". It matches the Rfam family "Bacterial small subunit ribosomal RNA", at positions 524 to 776 of the family's 1533-position model. The record is from RNAcentral.